Molecule: ribosomal RNA, 2930 nt
Filed under: Escherichia coli
Lineage: Bacteria; Pseudomonadati; Pseudomonadota; Gammaproteobacteria; Enterobacterales; Enterobacteriaceae
Description: 23S ribosomal RNA
Rfam family: Bacterial large subunit ribosomal RNA
Source: RNAcentral
GGGUUGUGAGGUUAAGCGACUAAGCGUACACGGUGGAUGCCCUGGCAGUCAGAGGCGAUGAAGGACGUGCUAAUCUGCGAUAAGCGUCGGUAAGGUGAUAUGAACCGUUAUAACCGGCGAUUUCCGAAUGGGGAAACCCAGUGUGUUUCGACACACUAUCAUUAACUGAAUCCAUAGGUUAAUGAGGCGAACCGGGGGAACUGAAACAUCUAAGUACCCCGAGGAAAAGAAAUCAACCGAGAUUCCCCCAGUAGCGGCGAGCGAACGGGGAGCAGCCCAGAGCCUGAAUCAGUGUGUGUGUUAGUGGAAGCGUCUGGAAAGGCGCGCGAUACAGGGUGACAGCCCCGUACACAAAAAUGCACAUGCUGUGAGCUCGAUGAGUAGGGCGGGACACGUGGUAUCCUGUCUGAAUAUGGGGGGACCAUCCUCCAAGGCUAAAUACUCCUGACUGACCGAUAGUGAACCAGUACCGUGAGGGAAAGGCGAAAAGAACCCCGGCGAGGGGAGUGAAAAAGAACCUGAAACCGUGUACGUACAAGCAGUGGGAGCACGCUUAGGCGUGUGACUGCGUACCUUUUGUAUAAUGGGUCAGCGACUUAUAUUCUGUAGCAAGGUUAACCGAAUAGGGGAGCCGAAGGGAAACCGAGUCUUAACUGGGCGUUAAGUUGCAGGGUAUAGACCCGAAACCCGGUGAUCUAGCCAUGGGCAGGUUGAAGGUUGGGUAACACUAACUGGAGGACCGAACCGACUAAUGUUGAAAAAUUAGCGGAUGACUUGUGGCUGGGGGUGAAAGGCCAAUCAAACCGGGAGAUAGCUGGUUCUCCCCGAAAGCUAUUUAGGUAGCGCCUCGUGAAUUCAUCUCCGGGGGUAGAGCACUGUUUCGGCAAGGGGGUCAUCCCGACUUACCAACCCGAUGCAAACUGCGAAUACCGGAGAAUGUUAUCACGGGAGACACACGGCGGGUGCUAACGUCCGUCGUGAAGAGGGAAACAACCCAGACCGCCAGCUAAGGUCCCAAAGUCAUGGUUAAGUGGGAAACGAUGUGGGAAGGCCCAGACAGCCAGGAUGUUGGCUUAGAAGCAGCCAUCAUUUAAAGAAAGCGUAAUAGCUCACUGGUCGAGUCGGCCUGCGCGGAAGAUGUAACGGGGCUAAACCAUGCACCGAAGCUGCGGCAGCGACGCUGAUGCGUUGUUGGGUAGGGGAGCGUUCUGUAAGCCUGCGAAGGUGUGCUGUGAGGCAUGCUGGAGGUAUCAGAAGUGCGAAUGCUGACAUAAGUAACGAUAAAGCGGGUGAAAAGCCCGCUCGCCGGAAGACCAAGGGUUCCUGUCCAACGUUAAUCGGGGCAGGGUGAGUCGACCCCUAAGGCGAGGCCGAAAGGCGUAGUCGAUGGGAAACAGGUUAAUAUUCCUGUACUUGGUGUUACUGCGAAGGGGGGACGGAGAAGGCUAUGUUGGCCGGGCGACGGUUGUCCCGGUUUAAGCGUGUAGGCUGGUUUUCCAGGCAAAUCCGGAAAAUCAAGGCUGAGGCGUGAUGACGAGGCACUACGGUGCUGAAGCAACAAAUGCCCUGCUUCCAGGAAAAGCCUCUAAGCAUCAGGUAACAUCAAAUCGUACCCCAAACCGACACAGGUGGUCAGGUAGAGAAUACCAAGGCGCUUGAGAGAACUCGGGUGAAGGAACUAGGCAAAAUGGUGCCGUAACUUCGGGAGAAGGCACGCUGAUAUGUAGGUGAAGUCCCUUGCGGAUGGAGCUGAAAUCAGUCGAAGAUACCAGCUGGCUGCAACUGUUUAUUAAAAACACAGCACUGUGCAAACACGAAAGUGGACGUAUACGGUGUGACGCCUGCCCGGUGCCGGAAGGUUAAUUGAUGGGGUCAGCGCAAGCGAAGCUCUUGAUCGAAGCCCCGGUAAACGGCGGCCGUAACUAUAACGGUCCUAAGGUAGCGAAAUUCCUUGUCGGGUAAGUUCCGACCUGCACGAAUGGCGUAAUGAUGGCCAGGCUGUCUCCACCCGAGACUCAGUGAAAUUGAACUCGCUGUGAAGAUGCAGUGUACCCGCGGCAAGACGGAAAGACCCCGUGAACCUUUACUAUAGCUUGACACUGAACAUUGAGCCUUGAUGUGUAGGAUAGGUGGGAGGCUUUGAAGUGUGGACGCCAGUCUGCAUGGAGCCGACCUUGAAAUACCACCCUUUAAUGUUUGAUGUUCUAACGUGGACCCGUGAUCCGGGUUGCGGACAGUGUCUGGUGGGUAGUUUGACUGGGGCGGUCUCCUCCUAAAGAGUAACGGAGGAGCACGAAGGUUGGCUAAUCCUGGUCGGACAUCAGGAGGUUAGUGCAAUGGCAUAAGCCAGCUUGACUGCGAGCGUGACGGCGCGAGCAGGUGCGAAAGCAGGUCAUAGUGAUCCGGUGGUUCUGAAUGGAAGGGCCAUCGCUCAACGGAUAAAAGGUACUCCGGGGAUAACAGGCUGAUACCGCCCAAGAGUUCAUAUCGACGGCGGUGUUUGGCACCUCGAUGUCGGCUCAUCACAUCCUGGGGCUGAAGUAGGUCCCAAGGGUAUGGCUGUUCGCCAUUUAAAGUGGUACGCGAGCUGGGUUUAGAACGUCGUGAGACAGUUCGGUCCCUAUCUGCCGUGGGCGCUGGAGAACUGAGGGGGGCUGCUCCUAGUACGAGAGGACCGGAGUGGACGCAUCACUGGUGUUCGGGUUGUCAUGCCAAUGGCACUGCCCGGUAGCUAAAUGCGGAAGAGAUAAGUGCUGAAAGCAUCUAAGCACGAAACUUGCCCCGAGAUGAGUUCUCCCUGACUCCUUGAGAGUCCUGAAGGAACGUUGAAGACGACGACGUUGAUAGGCCGGGUGUGUAAGCGCAGCGAUGCGUUGAGCUAACCGGUACUAAUGAACCGUGAGGCUUAACCUUACAACGCCGAAGCUGUU